UGGGGAAUAUUGCACAAUGGGCGCAAGCCUGAUGCAGCCAUGCCGCGUGUGUGAAGAAGGCCUUCGGGUUGUAAAGUACUUUCAGUCGGGAGGAAGGUGUCAAGGUUAAUAACCUUGGCAAUUGACGUUACCGACAGAAGAAGCACCGGCUAACUCCGAGCCAGCAGCCGCGGUAAUACGGGGGGUGCAAGCGUUAAUCGGAAUUACUGGGCGUAAAGCGCACGCAGGCGGUUGAUUGAGUCAGAUGUGAAAUCCCCGGGCUUAACCCGGGAAUUGCAUCUGAUACUGGUCAGCUAGAGUCUUGUAGAGGGGGGUAGAAUUCCAUGUGUAGCGGUGAAAUGCGUAGAGAUGUGGAGGAAUACCGGUGGCGAAGGCGGCCCCCUGGACAAAGACUGACGCUCAGGUGCGAAAGCGUGGGGAGCAAACAGG
This 429-nucleotide ribosomal RNA is filed under the name Chloroflexota bacterium. RNAcentral describes it as "Chloroflexi bacterium partial 16S ribosomal RNA". It matches the Rfam family "Bacterial small subunit ribosomal RNA", at positions 355 to 776 of the family's 1533-position model. The record is from RNAcentral. Lineage: Bacteria; Bacillati; Chloroflexota.